Molecule: ribosomal RNA, 393 nt
Filed under: uncultured bacterium
Lineage: Bacteria
Description: bacterial SSU rRNA
Rfam family: Bacterial small subunit ribosomal RNA
Source: RNAcentral
AAUCUUCGGCAAUGGGCGCAAGCCUGACCGAGCGACGCCGCGUGAAGGAUGAAGGCCUUCGGGUCGUAAACUUCUAAAAGAGGGACGAUAGUGACGGUACCUCUUGAAAAGCACCGGCUAACUCCGUGCCAGCAGCCGCGGUAAUACGAAGGGGGCUAGCGUUGCUCGGAAUUACUGGGCGUAAAGGGAGCGUAGGCGGACAUUUAAGUCAGGGGUGAAAUCCCGAGGCUCAACCUCGGAACUGCCUUUGAUACUGGAUGUCUUGAGUGUGAGAGAGGUGAGUGGAACUCCGAGUGUAGAGGUGAAAUUCGUAGAUAUUCGGAAGAACACCAGUGGCGAAGGCGACUCACUGGCUCAUUACUGACGCUGAGGCUCGAAAGCGUGGGGAGCAAA